Molecule: long non-coding RNA, 597 nt
Organism: Triticum aestivum (bread wheat)
Lineage: Eukaryota; Viridiplantae; Streptophyta; Magnoliopsida; Poales; Poaceae
Exons: 3
Source: RefSeq, a predicted model, not a curated record
UCCAGCCCCAAAAACUUUCCUAAAUUUACUUCACCGGUACGUGGCCGAGUAAAAAUCUUCGGCUGCGGGGCUGCUGCAUCUUCGCCAGCGCGCCUCCCGCCGGUCCCCCGCCGGCCCCGCUGCUACUCGUUCCAUCCCUUGCCCUCUGCCACUGUUGUGCCCGUCAGCCAGCCCGUUCAGCCCCUGUCGCCGUCGUCGGAAUCAAGGUCACCUGUCGCUCGCCGCUUCGGACUAAACCACGUCGGCCGGCUUUUGCACCACCACCGCACCCCAAGUGUUCGAAGAAUUGCCUAGACGAAGAGGUUGAGGGAGAUGGCGUUGGAGGACUCGACGUCGUCUGAAGAGGAGGAAGAAGACGACGAUGACUUUGACACCGUUUUAGGCAUGAUUUUCAAUGAUGAUGUUCGGCGGCCGAGGAGAGGAUCACAAUUUGGCCGCAUACACAUCACAAUUUGGCCGGUCACAAUUUGCAAUUGUUCGUGGCCCAGGAACUCCAAGGUUCGAUGGCAAAUCAUGACUUGUUGCAUCAUAUUGCAUAACAUGAUCAUUAAAGACGAGAGAGAUAUGCCUGAGAACUUUCGGUACAUCACCAACGAG